UUGCGUGCGAUUUACGAUGUGUUUUGCUAUUUUUGGAGCUAUAAUCUGCAAAUUAGCGGACUUUAGCGUGUUCUUUAUUUUCCGCCGUUGUCGUUCGAGCAGCGCCUGUUGUUCCCGCAGAAAUUUAGUUGAAUGAGUCAUCACAGUCCCAACGUAUAUCGCGCAUUGUUCACCAAGGCAAAGUCAACCAAGCAUUCUGUCAUGUUAUGUGGCUACGCGAAGGAUUCCGAAAAAGAAAAACAACAACAACAUGGCUAAUAGGAUGUUGCUGCCCAGGGAGUCCUGACCGAAGAGCCACCGAGCUCCAGUCCCCAGUAGCAGUCCUUGCCAGAGGAAGUCCGACAUCGUCAGGGUUCUUCAAGCAAAUUCCGGAGCAAUAUUGAUGUCAUGUUGUUUUCGUUACCGCAGAUAUGGUGGCUAAAAGGGGAGGUGACGCCAACGAGGAAUGAAAAGCGCGCCGUCAAUUCAUGCUCGGCAGCAGUGGCGCUGGCGCCGCGACUUCGAUCGGCUCGGCCUCCGGCAUGCGAAGGAACCUACGCUCCUUCAUCCCCAACGGGAGAGGGAGAAGGAGCACAGUGCCGCCUUAUGCGUCGAAGAUGAGCUUUGACUUGCGGAAACAAAACAAAAACAAAUGUAUCGGGUGACUCUAUCGGAACUGGCCUUAUCUUGGGUUGCAUUUUCUGUUUCCUUUUAAUCUUUUUCCAGGACGCGAGAGGCGGUAGUGUGCUCUUUCUCCCUCUCACAUUGUGGGUGAAAGAAAGACGCGCCUUCUAAGAAGCGCAAUGAACAAAAUAAAGAAAAAAAUGGCGUUCCUUCACGAAU
Molecule: long non-coding RNA, 822 nt
Organism: Ornithodoros turicata
Lineage: Eukaryota; Metazoa; Arthropoda; Arachnida; Ixodida; Argasidae
Exons: 3
Source: RefSeq, a predicted model, not a curated record